AGCUUAAUCCAUUUCCACGGGACAAGCUUACACGCGGCUUUCCCUUUUGGGAAACCCCAAGCACUUAGCACAAACCUUAAUUACAUUACAAACGGCGAGACGCGGCCUCCCUUUAUUCUAGUAGUACAGAGGUGGUGGAGUAGCACAACGGUAGUGGGGUGUUACUACUAAUGGUGGCUAAUAUUCCUCAAAGCACUUCCGAGGUGGUGGAGGUCUUCAUGGAGUAUUUGGUGAGUGGAGUGUGGGUGGAGGUCUUCUGCUUCUUCAGUGACCUUGCUUCGGUUGUG
RNAcentral lists this long non-coding RNA (287 nucleotides) under Setaria italica (foxtail millet). Its description in RNAcentral is "long non-coding RNA (SITA_LNC004405)". Lineage: Eukaryota; Viridiplantae; Streptophyta; Magnoliopsida; Poales; Poaceae. The record is from RNAcentral.